This 23-nucleotide non-coding RNA is filed under the name Arabidopsis thaliana (thale cress). The record is from RNAcentral. Lineage: Eukaryota; Viridiplantae; Streptophyta; Magnoliopsida; Brassicales; Brassicaceae.
UCAAUUCAGACUGUCUCAAAUCC